Molecule: transfer RNA, 88 nt
Filed under: Firmicutes bacterium HGW-Firmicutes-2
Lineage: Bacteria; Bacillati; Bacillota
Also listed under: 2 other names
Description: tRNA-Leu
Rfam family: tRNA
About the family: Transfer RNA (tRNA) molecules are approximately 80 nucleotides in length. Their secondary structure includes four short double-helical elements and three loops (D, anti-codon, and T loops).
Source: RNAcentral
GCAGUUGUGGCGGAAUUGGCAUACGCGCUAGACUAAGGAUCUAGUCCAUAUUAUUUGGGUAGGGGUUCAAGUCCCCUUGACUGCACUA